GACGAACGCUGGCGGCGUGCUUAACACAUGCAAGUCGAACGGUGAACGAGGGAGCUUGCUCCAUCCGGAUCAGUGGCGAACGGGUGAGUAACACGUGAGCAAUCUGCCCCGAACUCUGGGAUAAGCGUUGGAAACGACGUCUAAUACCGGAUACGACGCGGGAGGGCAUCCUCUCCGCGUGGAAAGAACUUCGGUUCGGGAUGAGCUCGCGGCCUAUCAGCUUGUUGGUGAGGUAACGGCUCACCAAGGCGACGACGGGUAGCCGGCCUGAGAGGGUGACCGGCCACACUGGGACUGAGACACGGCCCAGACUCCUACGGGAGGCAGCAGUGGGGAAUAUUGCACAAUGGGCGCAAGCCUGAUGCAGCAACGCCGCGUGAGGGACGACGGCCUUCGGGUUGUAAACCUCUUUUAGCAGGGAAGAAGCGAAAGUGACGGUACCUGCAGAAAAAGCACCGGCUAACUACGUG
This 470-nucleotide ribosomal RNA is filed under the name uncultured bacterium. Its description in RNAcentral is "partial 16S ribosomal RNA". It matches the Rfam family "Bacterial small subunit ribosomal RNA", at positions 28 to 507 of the family's 1533-position model. The record is from RNAcentral.